This 62-nucleotide transfer RNA is filed under the name Dipterophagus daci. RNAcentral describes it as "tRNA-Phe". The record is from RNAcentral. Lineage: Eukaryota; Metazoa; Arthropoda; Insecta; Strepsiptera; Halictophagidae.
AUUUAAAUAGCUUAUAAAGAGUAUAAUAUUGAAAAUAUUAAGGAAAAAAUUUUUUUUAAAUG